Molecule: long non-coding RNA, 6827 nt
Filed under: Dendronephthya gigantea
Lineage: Eukaryota; Metazoa; Cnidaria; Anthozoa; Malacalcyonacea; Nephtheidae
Description: uncharacterized LOC114535259
Source: RNAcentral
AGUAAUCUUCUAGGUCUAGGAUAAAGUGAGGACGCUACUGACGUAUAUUAAAAACACAAUUAACAUAUCAUUGGCUGCUAAUGACUGGCCAAAAUGAAGGCGGACAAAAGCCUGUAAUCCGGUAUGCGUGGGGAUACAAAAGUUUACGAUAUGAGUGGGCUACUGGUAUGAUCUUUAUACUGUGCUGCAGUUGUCAACAUUUGAGCAUUCUCAGCCAUGUAGUCGUGGCAAACGGUCGUGAAUUCGUAUCGACUGACAAUUAACCGAAAUCGUACCAUUGGUGCUGCGGCUGUCAUUGGCCUAAUGUCGUAGAGUGAUGAUAUUAGCAUCGACGUUAAAAGCCUAAUAAAAGGAAGAAAGCCACUAAGUUGGUUUCGUAGUGCUACGAUUGGCAUUGGCGUUCGGUACACUAAAAAGUUAAAGAUUAAAAGUUCAAUGAAAGGACGCAAGCUACUGAGUUCGGUGAGGCAGAUCGUGACGUAGAACAACAUGCUGCGAUAUUUGGGAUGAUAAAUCCAGCGUCAUGGUUAAGUAAUUUGUUUUUUAUUUCUUUUUUAAUUGUACCGCUUAAUUCACAGUAGCAUUCGGCGCAAAUAUCUAGUUAUAAAAUCGUUAAACCUUUGGCUUUGGGGGAAGUUGCAUAAAACGUUUAACUAUAUUUUGCGUAUAUAGUCAAAUCGGAGAUCUAUAAUUAACUCCAAAAUUUUCGAUUUUGGAUAAUCAAUUGCAUGACUGUGUAAAAAGUGUGUAUAGUUCUAGACGUUAACUACCUUCACAUGCAACUAGCUAUUGACUGUGUUAUGAUAGGCACUUGUCCAAAGUCAAGCCGAAUACGAUUUCAAAUAGUUAAAAACUGCAUACGAUAGACCUAGGGCAGCGCAAAGCUUUUGGUUUAAACUGAACCUAAAAGUAAUUGGUUUCUUAAACUGUUGUGUUGUGAAGCGAUAUGAUUGGAACCAUUGGUUCCAACCAUUCUCAAAUGAAUUUAUGUCCGUGUGGUAGCAACCACAAAAACCCCUUUUUUCGAGGGUACACUUUUACUAUUUUGAAUAUUACUUAUAUCUCUUGUCGAUAUGUAUUACUGCGAAAUAACGAUUAAUUAACCCAAAACAUAACGAUUGAUAUCCGGCAAAAUUCCUCACAUUAUAUGCAUAUACUAUUGGUAUUAAACUCAGACAUCAGGGUGAGCUCAGCAGAUCGCUUGUAUUCAGAAUUUCAUAUAUUUUUCUCUCAAAUGCAGCCUGCCUAAUCCUUUGGAGCAAAAACACUGCUUGGUAUUACUAGGAAUAUCGUACGUGCUGCAUGACGUGAUUAUGUGAUAACUUGUCUUAAAGCAUGAUUUUGAAUUGCGGAGAAAUUAAUGUUAACUAUGCAGGCUCCCAUUAUCAUGGGAUUAAGCCAUAUCCCCAUUGAUGACUUCAUUAUAUCACAAUAAAGGUAAAAAAGAUUAUCAAUUUCAGGUUUUAUGUAUAAAGUGUAAAUCUUUUUUAAAAAGGCGAAUUACUCCUAACUUCGAAGUAAUCUAAGAAAGAGCAUUUUAUUUUUUUUAAAGCAUAACUGACUUUUUAACGAAUGGUACCAUCAGAAAUGAGAGACUUGUCUUCAUCAGAUAUGCGAUAUUUGUUAAGCAGCAAAAUUGUGAUAUUACAACCACUAGUUUAUCUAUAGUGAAACCUGCCUUGUUUAUUAAUAUUAUUGUUAUUAUUAAGACAAUAUUUUUUCAGGGCGCCCGACUCACAAAGUGAUUUUCAGCGGGGUCCUGGAUUAAAAUAAAGUACAAACAUGUACAAAUAUAUAGUGAAAGUUAGAAUGUUAAACUACGUUUAAGGUAGAAAAUUAAAAAGACAUGCAAUAUAAGGAAAUCAGACAAACAAGAAUUUCUUAAGUCUCAAUUUGAAAAUCCUAAAGUCAUCUCGUGAGGGAGCGUAUUCCAGUCCGUAUCCUUCCAAAUAUAGGUGAAAGUAAGCUUGCCGUAAUUCUUGUUCGGUUUAGAAAGAAAUUAUGUGUAUUAUAUUUAUGCGCCUCAGAGGUAUUCUUAAAGUCAAAGUCAAAUUAAUAGAAAGCUAAAAUUAGCUAUAAACGAAUGAUUAUUAGAGACUUUGAUGACUUAGAUAUUCAUUUUCAUUUAGAUUAAUCCAUCAGAAAUAUUCAUCUCAAUGUAAACAAAGAUAUUUAUAACCUUUUUGGGAAAACAUAUCCGAUAACCAUGAAAUUAUGCAACCGAUAUUUUGCGUUACAAUUGUAGAUACUUUCGUGCAAGAUUCUUAACUUCAAAAUUGUGUUUUGAAAACAAAACAGUUUCAUGAAAAAAAAUAAAAAAUCUGAUUAGUUCCAGUUUCAUCUUUCCCUGAAUAUCUGUUAGGAAAUAAACCUUCCCGGAGCAUAACUUUCUUUUCCACUAUAUGUUGUGUGCGUUGCUUUCGUUAAGAUCAAAUAAUUGGCGUGUUUAUCUUUUAGUAACUAACGUUCGUAUUGUAUUGUUUGUCCAUCCUUUGGUACACGCCUAUAUUCAAUUUGUCAGGAUAUUUGUUUGUGUAUCAAUAUCUGAAACUUCUGCUUGACUCGGGUCCCUUCCUCUCUUGUCCUGUAACAAGUGUGUGUUUGACAAAGAACUGUGGUAGUAUCUGUCUUAAGAAGACAAAUGUUUGUAACCUAAAUUGUGUUGGAGGAAAUGCUCAAUACUUCGUGGCCUAUAAAACAUUCUUAUAAUAACGUUGAGAAUGAAAGAAACUAUUAUACAUCCUGUCGUAGAAAAAGGUUGGAGAAAUCGUAUCGCAUUAUUGCAGUUUCUGAUUACACUGUUAGUAAAUAAAGAAAAGGGAAUGAAUAUCCCUACAAACCAUCGGGAUUGCAAAGAAUUCAUAGUAAAGUGGAAAGAUUUUGCGACCAUCUUAAAAAACACUGAUUUAGAACGCUUGGUGUUUCUGAAACACUUAACAAAACGAAUUGGAAGCCAAUUAGAAGAAAACGUCAGUCAAAUUCUGUGAUAAACCAGUUUAUCUGUUUAUUAAACCUCAAAAAGAUUAUACCCAACUAAUAGACUGGCCCUGAGACACCACGUCGCGGAGAUAUGUUGAUGAAUCAAACAAUAUUAAAUAGUCAAGAAAUCUUAGAGUUCAAGUGACAUUCACUCUUAACAAGAGAAAUUUCUGAACUGAAAGAUAUAUUGUCACUCAAUGACACAACCCUCUGCUAAACCAACGGGUGAUCUAUCCUCCCUAGAAACUUCAUCGACCUAAAGUGCUUAUUCCGAUCAACAUGGACUUCCUCCCUUAAUGUUAAAAACACCAUCAACAGUUACCAGCUUUUCAGGUUAUCCAUCGCCGAUCGACAAUGUGUAUUCUUGUGUAUACGAACAUAUAUAAAGACAGAUUUUGGAGGUAAUUUGUGGUAAAGCUAAAAUAUGUUGGUAUAUUUUGAAAUUCGAAUGUGAUGAUAAUGAUGUACCCAAGAUGUCUGAAAUGAUAACGCAGUAAAAAGAUGUGUUCAGUUAAGUUCGUCCAAAACAGUAUUCAUCCUUACAGACACUGGUUAAUAUGUAAACAAUGAUGAUGAAGAUCCCAAUAAACGACGUCUUAUAGGGAAUGGCAAUUGAUAAUACGAAAAGAUAUUUGAGCAACUGAAUGUUGGAAUUGUCACAGCACACUCCUAACACACAUUGUUUAACUUGUAAUUCAGGCAAUCCCAGAAAGUGCUUCCUCUGUCUCUCGGCGUCUGGCCUCAAGUCACACUGUAGAACGUUCCCCUAUCUUAAUGCUAAAUUGGGAAGUUCUAGACCUCUAUUCCAAAACCUUGUGCUUAACUCUGAGCAAUUAUAAGGUUCGUGUGGCUUCUCCACAUUUAGUGGGUGGUUCAUUUCGAAUAUGAGGCUCCAGGUUUUUUUUUUCUUACCUUGCCCUUUUUUAUACAUCUAUUUUCCAGUUUACCUGCUUAUAAAUUUCUUCAGUUUUCUGCUAUUCUGCAUAUAUGCGAUUGAACGAAUGUUUGAAUAUGAGUCUGAAUUUAAUCUCUAGAGAACAGUUAGCUUAAUUAGGAGCGAAAGAAUCUACACUUGUAAAGCAUAAUGGUAUAUAAGCGUGCGCAUUUUGUUUGCCUCCAAAAUUGGGAUUUUUAAAAAUUCUUGGAUUUUGCACUCACAUUUCAAUUUCACCAAGAAAGUUUCGCACUGGUCACAUGCACGUAUCUGCAAAAAAAGAACGGUAAUACUAAUUUCUAAGGAUGUAGAAUUAUAUGAAAAGGUUACGAACGAGAGUGAUAAUUUUUGAAAAAUUAACAACCACAUAGCAAACAUUAGUUCCAUAUUAAGUUUGUUUGUAUUUCUAUUUGAAUUUUUAUUAGGUUUGUUUGUAUUUCUUCCCACUUACUCUAUAAUGGCGAGCAAAAAUUGGGCGUCAUUAGCACACAUUAAUGUUUCAUAAUCAACGUGUUUUCUGCAGAUAUAAGAGUAAUACUAAGUUUAUCUUACAUGAAGAAUCAUCGAAAUAUAUAAUAUAACGAUUAUAAACAUCAAUUUAAACUAUACACCAAACAAAAAUGAGGUAAAGAAAGUUGAUUCCCACUAAAAUUGGCAAAUCUGAAAUGCCGGCUUCGCACCAACAUUUUAAUGUAACGGAGAACAUUUGUCACUGAUCACACGUUUGUGCAAAAAAUCCCCAUAGGGAUUUAAAGUUAUGAACGAUGGUAAUAAGACUAGAUUGUUUUGUUUUCUUUUAUUUGAGUUAAAUGUUAUAUUGUUUUAAAAAAAGUGCUUCUGACAUUCAUACUUGAUUUGUACAUUGGUUUACACGAGUUAGUGGUAAUAUCAUGGGCUUAAUACAUCCCUUUUAUGCGCAUAAUAAUGAGACAUAAUUUUUUAAUGAGGCAAAUUAUUUAAAAAUGAUCAUGCUAAUUAUUCAUAGGUGAUCAUCUUAAUAUUUGUCCAAAAGUGCUCCAGAUCUUCAUUCAUUUCAGGUAGAUGCUGAUUGUUGAAUUCUACCAGUAUUUCAGCAUGUCUCUCAAAGACAUACUGGUAGAACUCGCGGAGCCUCUCCAGCUCCGCGUUUCUCUCUUCUUCCUUCUCUCUUUUUCUCAUCCGGUAGCGCUUGAAUCUGUUCAUCUCGGGCAUGUAGCGGUUAGUAGUUAACCUGUGGGUAUGUUCCCGGAAGUAGCGGAAGCUCUGAACCAUGUCAAUUAGUUUCCAGUCCGGUCGUGUGAGGGAUAUGCGUGUGCAUGUUAAUUGAAAUACGUCACUAAUAGGAAAUGACGGGUUGAGAAAGUAUGAAUAUUAAUUGAAUACGUCGCAAAUCGAAAUAUCUGGUUGAGAACGGGUUUAUGUUAUCAUGGUAGAAAUAUUUUACCUUUGAUAACAAUUCGAAGUCAAAAUCCGUGCAAUUUUAGCUGGAUUGUACCUUUCGGUUUAGGUGAAGUUAUAUUUUUGAAGAAUAUAUUUAGAGACGGCCACAUUUAUUCAGUUUAAUUUUUCUCCACCAAGAGUGCCGAAGCACUGAUCACACUACAGGGGAGAAAAGAGAAAGGUAUUAUAAGUAUAAAGGGGAAACGAGAAGGAAAAGAAUAUUGAGCGUAUGAUUAAUAAACAAAUAAAAGGUGGUUUAAUUUUUUCUACUUACUCCAACACCCCCAUCCAAAAUUGUGCAUCGUUGCACCAUUUUAUGAAUUCAUCAUCUGCAGGCGUUCUGCAGAGAUAGUAAUUGUGAGAUCAUGAAGAAUCAUUGAUGUGAAUAACAAUAAUGAUAAGAUUUAUACAGAUAUAGACAUAGAUUUUAAAUACCCACAGUGUGGACAUCAUCCGCGUGCCCAGUAAAAUAGGCAAAUCUGAAAUGUGGGCUUUGCACCCACAUUUCAUUUUUACUGUGAACGUUUUACAGUCGUUGCAUGUUUCUGCAAAGAAAAAACAAACAAGAAACGUUCAUUCAUAGGGACUUUGGUUAACAAACAUAGAAAUAAGACUGGGUUAAUUUUUAGAAAAAAGAAGAAAAAAAUAUGAGCACAUACCAAACUUUGAUUCCAUGUUUGUUCGAUCUGUUCAACAACAUCUAUACUUUUGACUUUAGAGUUUGAUUUGAGUUAAUUGUUAUAUUGUUUUGAAAAAGUGCUUCUGUCAUUCAUACUUGAUUUGUACAUUGGUUUACACGAGUUAGUGGUAAUAUCAUGCGCUUAAUACAUCCCUUUUAUGCGCAUAAUAAUGAGACAUAUCAUUUUUUAAUGAGGCAAAAUUAUUUAAAAAUGAUCAUGCCAAUUAUUCAUAGGUGAUCAUCUUAAUAUUUGCCCAAAAGCGUUCCAGAUCUUCAUCCAUUUCAGGUAGAUGCUGAUUGUUGAAUUCUACCGGUAUUUCAGCAUGUCUCUCAAAUACAUACUGGUAGAACUCGCGAAGCCUCUCCAGCUCCGCGUUUCUCUCUUCUUCCUUCUCUCUUUUUCUCAUCCGGUAGCGCUUGAAUCUGUUCAUCUCGGGCAUGUAGCGGUUAGUAGUUAACCUGUGGGUAUGUUCCUGGAAGUAGCGGGAGCUCUGAACUGUGUCAAUUAGUUUCCAGUCCGGUCGUGUGAGGGAUAUGCGUGCGCAUGUUAAUUGAAAUAGGUCACUAAUGGGAAAUGACGGGUUGAGAAUGUAUGAAUAUUAAUUGAAUACGUCGCAAAUCGAAAUAUCUGGUUGAGAACGGGUUUAUGUUAUCAUGGUAGAAAUAUUUUACCUUUGAUAACAACUCGAAGUCAAAAUCCGUGCAAUUUUACCUGGAUUGUACCUUUCGGUUUAGGUGAAGUUAUAUUUUUGAAGAAUAUAUUUAGAGACGGCCAUGUUUUAACAAUUUUGAGAAGCUUGUUUUAACGCUGUGGAC